Molecule: non-coding RNA, 374 nt
Organism: Pelobates cultripes (western spadefoot toad)
Lineage: Eukaryota; Metazoa; Chordata; Amphibia; Anura; Pelobatidae
Source: the annotation of a GenBank genome assembly
CUAAUUAACUUGGUCAUGCCCACAUUACCUCUGUGACCAUAUUUAUGACCACGUAUUAGGUUUUUCCUGAUAUUUUUAUAUACUUUUUCAAGAAUACAAAUCAAUGUUAAUUCACUUGUGCCCUAGGGCAUUACUAAAAGAGCUGACAGGGGCUGUAGUCCAGGUGAAUCCUGAAAACACUCAUUUGGGCACAAUUUCGCUGUUAGCCCCAAGUCCACUGUAUAUCUUGAGAGAGAAAUAAUAUCUCCAGUUACAUCAUUUGUGACAAUUCUACUUUGAUGCACCAUAUUUGGAGGUACCUCUACAGAACAGUGUGGAAGUAAUGCUGCAGGUGCUAGCUUACUAUAGCAUGGUGUAGAGUUAAUACAACAGGC